Lobosporangium transversale is the source of this 73-nucleotide transfer RNA. It matches the Rfam family "tRNA". From Rfam's summary of the family: Transfer RNA (tRNA) molecules are approximately 80 nucleotides in length. The record is from Rfam. Lineage: Eukaryota; Fungi; Mortierellomycota; Mortierellomycetes; Mortierellales; Mortierellaceae.
GCCCGGCUAACUCAAUCGGUAGAGUGUCAGACUUUUAAUCUGAAAGUUGCGGGUUCGACCCCCGCGUUGGGCG